AUUGAACGCUGGCGGCAGGCCUAACACAUGCAAGUCGAGCGGAUGAAGGGAGCUUGCUCCUGGAUUCAGCGGCGGACGGGUGAGUAAUGCCUAGGAAUCUGCCUGGUAGUGGGGGAUAACGUCCGGAAACGGGCGCUAAUACCGCAUACGUCCUGAGGGAGAAAGUGGGGGAUCUUCGGACCUCACGCUAUCAGAUGAGCCUAGGUCGGAUUAGCUAGUUGGUGAGGUAAAGGCCUACCAAGGCGACGAUCCGUAACUGGUCUGAGAGGAUGAUCAGUCACACUGGAACUGAGACACGGUCCAGACUCCUACGGGAGGCAGCAGUGGGGAAUAUUGGGCAAUGGGCGAAAGCCUGAUCCAGCCAUGCCGCGUGUGUGAAGAAGGUCUUCGGAUUGUAAAGCACUUUAAGUUGGGAGGAAGGGAAGUAAGUUAAUACCUUGCUGUUUUGACGUUACCAACAGAAUAAGCACCGGCUAACUUCGUG
This 484-nucleotide ribosomal RNA is filed under the name uncultured bacterium. RNAcentral describes it as "partial 16S ribosomal RNA". It matches the Rfam family "Bacterial small subunit ribosomal RNA", at positions 30 to 507 of the family's 1533-position model. The record is from RNAcentral.